GAGCAUUUGGGUUGUUGCCCAUUUUGAUGAAGUAAUGGGCCCGAGUUACUUGGAGGAGAGGCAGAUGGCUGUGGGCUAAUUCCUGAAGUGCACUUCUGGGGACCAUCAGCCCUGGCUCCCAGGCUGACAUCCCACACAGGGCUACAGAUUCCAGGAUGAUGCCAUUCAGUGAAGACUCUGUAUGCACUUUUUGGGGAAGAGAACAACAGGAUCUCACUUUGUUCUUGGGAACUCCAUACAUGGCAGGCCUGCGUGUAUGGGUGCCCACCUUUAUGUGGCCAAACAGAGACAUAUCUAAACUGGUUUUAUAGGAUUUGGAGGAAAUGCCCUAAAUAGAAAAGUUGGAAGAAUAAAAUCUGUGAAAAGGAAAGCAAAAAGGUGACAGGAGAGCCACAAACAAAGGAGAAUCUUGCCUUGGCCGUGUUCAGUGGAGACUGGAAUUUGGUGAGAACCAGUUCACUUCGAGCCCCACAAAAGGGUCUGAUGACUAAAAAAUUAAAGGAAUACUGUCGUCAGACUGCUUUCCAGAGAGGCGGUCCCACCAGAUGGCCCUUGAAGACCAGGAAGGGGAGCUUCCAGCCAUCCUAGACCCCUUCCCACAGAGGAACAGGGCCGAUGAAAAUGAGGUGUGGGAGCAGAAGUCAUCCGGCCUGGGCUUCAGCUCUGUGUAGAGCACCACAUGCAGCAUCGGCUUCCAAAUGGGACUGGCUUUUAUUUCUAGAAGUGAUGGAGGUGGUGAAAGAAGUUUCAUCCCAGCUGUACUUCUGAGGGCAAUCUGGAUGAAGCUGGAGGCACACAUGCCCAUCCCCUUCACUCCUGUCCUUAGGCCACUGACCAGUGAACUCUGCCCAGGAGCCCUUCUCCGUCAGGAGGAACGUCGGCGGGUGGUCCACCCUAUCCUUACCCUCAGUCCUCCCUCUGUGGGCCUCCAGGUCCCCUCUCCAUAGUCCGCUAGGAUAAGGACUCUUGUCCCCACCUCCUAUGCUCUUCCUCCAUUCUGCCUCCUGCUGUCAUCCCAAUGGCCUCCACAUCCACUGGGAUGACCCUCACCUCCUCCACUUUGGCCUGCCUCCUCCUCUCCAGUUCCACUACGCCCAUGGCCACAACCCACACGGCUCUACCUCUGUCUGAAAUGCCCUUUCAAACACCACCUCCUAUCUUUCCCCCUCCCUCACUGCCUUUAUUCUCAGGAAGUCUGCUCCCAGCCUGCCAGCUCUGUCCUCAUGCCCCUUGGACCAGGUCUUAGGUCUACUGACCCCACAGCCUUCUUCCAUCCUGAUUUGAGUCUUCUGAAACCUCCUUCAUUCAUCUCUCCCUGUCCAGCCCCCAUAUUCAUCGAGUUACCAUGGAGCUGUAUAUUCUCCCCCAGCAUCUCGUGAGUCUGUCCCCUCUUUCCCCCUCUUCACUGCCAGACCCUGCCCUGGUUUGAGCCAUCAUGACGCCUCCCUGUGGUCUGCAGCUCUGACCUUUCUUCUUCCUUCACCCUCAUUGCAGGUCUCCAUGUGCUGGCAUGCUCCACUUAUGGGGUCCACUCACUGCUCCUAAACAGGUCAGAAAUUUUCAUGCUGCCCUUUUCCUGUCUUCCUCCUACGUAGAAUUAGUUGCAUUUUGUGUGUAGCUGUGCCCCUCUGCCCUGUGUCCCAGGUGGUUGGUUACGUGUCUGUACCUUCUACUAGAAGGUGUGGUCUUUGAGGACAAGGACCACUUUUACUCAACUGUAUAAGCUUAGCAGCUAGCACAACACCUGUCAUAUGGCCAAUGUCAAUAAAUAUUUAUAGACUUAAA
Callorhinus ursinus (northern fur seal) is the source of this 1785-nucleotide long non-coding RNA. RefSeq lists it as uncharacterized. The record is from RefSeq and is a predicted model, not a curated record. Lineage: Eukaryota; Metazoa; Chordata; Mammalia; Carnivora; Otariidae.